GUGGAUUACACUGCACUACCGGGACUCCGCGGCCAGCUGCAAGUACAAAAAGAGGCGCUCAUGGCCAAGUUGCACGACUCAUAGGUGGAGCCAGGACCACGAAUCAGGCUGUCAACAAGUAUCAGCAAGUUGUGUGAAGAAGAAUGUCUGGCCCUUGCGGAUGAUGUAAAUUACAUGGGUUUUAAAUACCUACCAAUUCAAAAAAUUGGCCAGGCUUGCCUGGAGGAGGACCAACAUCUUGAGGCCAUCGUCAAGGCCCAACACUGCAGUCAGACACUAACAAGGAUAAAGACAACGAUGGAGGCUAACUGGUCCUAUUACAACUUCGCGAAGCAUGGCCUUGGGCCAGAAAUGUUGAAGGGUGCUUUUUCUUUAAUUAAUGCGUGCCUGGUCAAGGCAGAGAGCCUCCACUGCCUCCAGGAGUAAAUAAAGCAU
Molecule: long non-coding RNA, 435 nt
Organism: Perca fluviatilis (European perch)
Lineage: Eukaryota; Metazoa; Chordata; Actinopteri; Perciformes; Percidae
Exons: 3
Source: RefSeq, a predicted model, not a curated record